RNAcentral lists this ribosomal RNA (253 nucleotides) under uncultured bacterium. RNAcentral's name for it is "partial 16S ribosomal RNA". It matches the Rfam family "Bacterial small subunit ribosomal RNA", at positions 524 to 776 of the family's 1533-position model. The record is from RNAcentral.
UACGUAGGGUGCAAGCGUUGUCCGGAAUUAUUGGGCGUAAAGGGCUCGUAGGCGGUCCAUCGCGUCGGGAGUGAAAAGCUGGGGCUCAACCCCAGUCCUGCUUUCGAUACGGGUGGACUAGAGGUAGGCAGGGGAGAACGGAAUUCCUGGUGUAGCGGUGAAAUGCGCAGAUAUCAGGAAGAACACCCGUGGCGAAGGCGGCUCUCUGGGACGGUACUGACGCUGAGACGCGAAAGCGUGGGGAGCGAACAGG